GGGCUGGGGCUCAGUGGUAGAGCACUUGCCUAGCAUGUGUGAGGCCCUGGGUUGGAUCCUCAGCACCACA
This 70-nucleotide transfer RNA is filed under the name Marmota monax (woodchuck). RNAcentral describes it as "tRNA.Ala". Lineage: Eukaryota; Metazoa; Chordata; Mammalia; Rodentia; Sciuridae. The record is from RNAcentral.